Molecule: small nucleolar RNA, 96 nt
Filed under: Triticum aestivum (bread wheat)
Lineage: Eukaryota; Viridiplantae; Streptophyta; Magnoliopsida; Poales; Poaceae
Also listed under: 1 other name
Description: Small nucleolar RNA Z161/Z228
Rfam family: Small nucleolar RNA Z161/Z228
About the family: Z161 and Z228 are members of the C/D class of snoRNA which contain the C (UGAUGA) and D (CUGA) box motifs. Most of the members of the box C/D family function in directing site-specific 2'-O-methylation of substrate RNAs.
Source: Rfam by way of RNAcentral
GUGCAUGUGACGAGAAACCAUAUAUACUCACGACGGUCGUCUCAGACACUUUAACACUUAGUGUGUAAUGGUGCAGUCAUAUGUUCUCUGAUGCCC